GCCGUAGAUCUCCUCGUAGGCGGCGGCGACCUCCUCCUCGGACUCGGGGGGAAGCUCGUCGAAGGAAGGCGGGGCAACGUAGCCUUCCGGCGGGGCCGGGGGGUCGAAGGGAAUGUCGUCGUUGGGGUCGACGUUGUCGAAGAAGGAGGUGUCGAUGUCGGCCGUGGCGGCCAAUUUGGGGAGGGUUCGGGCGCGGAAGGAGGAGGAGGAAGGGAGCAGGGUGGCACAGAGGGGCUUGAGGCAGAGGCCGCCGCGGUGAAGAGGAGGGCGGAGGGAGAGGGAGGAGAGAGCGGCGGUGAUGGCCGCUGUCGCUAAAGCCAUCCUCUCGCUGCUGUUUUGGCUUCGAAGGUG
Molecule: long non-coding RNA, 351 nt
Filed under: Musa acuminata (dwarf banana)
Lineage: Eukaryota; Viridiplantae; Streptophyta; Magnoliopsida; Zingiberales; Musaceae
Description: long non-coding RNA (MACU_LNC002717)
Source: RNAcentral